Molecule: long non-coding RNA, 730 nt
Organism: Peromyscus maniculatus bairdii (prairie deer mouse)
Lineage: Eukaryota; Metazoa; Chordata; Mammalia; Rodentia; Cricetidae
Source: RefSeq, a predicted model, not a curated record
UGUAGUUUUCCAUGAUAGCUCUCAUCACGUCAGCAAUCACCCUCCUAAGCAGCUGACUCAGGACCACGGAGGCCUUCUAUGCAGACAAAACAAGGAUGAAGGCUCUGGAAACCUAAUGGCUACAAGACAUCCCAACAGGAACACGCAGAGCCCAUUAAAGUCUGACUGCUGCCAGACGACAGCCUCGGGCAGGUCGCUGUGAGCGGGCACUACCGCAGAGGGCCCCUCAGAGGGGACUGGACUGCAGCGGACCUUAAAGGGGACAUGAAGAAGUCAAGCUGAUACUGACCAGGAAGCUUCUCCCAGCUGGCUAGCCUUCACGGCCUUGGAUAGACAGUCCUGGAUCGAAGGUGCUAUGCAGGCUGCUGAGGAAGGAAAGCCACUGACAGUCUUACCCAGCUGUGAAUCCUGUGAGCUGACAACCUUGGUAACUCUGCGUCCAUCGGUGCAAUCAUGGCGCAGACGCCAUGGGAGAGGCCAUCGCUUUCCAUUUGGAUUUAAGGCCCAUUCCACAGGAAGAAAUGCACGUCCGGUACAGCAAAACUGGCCAAGAACCCAUUGUUGGGAGCUCAUCGCAGUUUACUCAAUGGACGUAGCAUCAAACUGUCAUCUGAAUUCCCUCCUCUCUCUCUACGGAGCAAGAAGGCCUCACCAGAUGCCAAGAAGAUGCUGGCACUGUGCUUCUUCCAGCCUGUAGAUCCAUGAGCUAAAUAAAACUCUCUGCUUUACA